Molecule: ribosomal RNA, 468 nt
Filed under: uncultured bacterium
Lineage: Bacteria
Description: partial 16S ribosomal RNA
Rfam family: Bacterial small subunit ribosomal RNA
Source: RNAcentral
GACGAACGCUGGCGGCGUGCUUAACACAUGCAAGUCGAACGGAAAGGCCCUGCUUUUGUGGGGUGCUCGAGUGGCGAACGGGUGAGUAACACGUGAGUAACCUGCCCUUGACUUUGGGAUAACUUCAGGAAACUGGGGCUAAUACCGGAUAGGAGCUCCUGCUGCAUGGUGGGGGUUGGAAAGUUUCGGCGGUUGGGGAUGGACUCGCGGCUUAUCAGCUUGUUGGUGGGGUAGUGGCUUACCAAGGCUUUGACGGGUAGCCGGCCUGAGAGGGUGACCGGCCACAUUGGGGCUGAGAUACGGCCCAGACGCCUACGGGAGGCAGCAGUGGGGAAUAUUGCACAAUGGGCGGAAGCCUGAUGCAGCAACGCCGCGUGCGGGAUGACGGCCUUCGGGUUGUAAACCGCUUUCGCCUGUGACGAAGCGUGAGUGACGGUAAUGAGUAAAGAAGCACCGGCUAACUACGUG